This 410-nucleotide ribosomal RNA is filed under the name uncultured bacterium. RNAcentral's name for it is "bacterial SSU rRNA". It matches the Rfam family "Bacterial small subunit ribosomal RNA", at positions 29 to 424 of the family's 1533-position model. The record is from RNAcentral.
AACGAACGCUGGCGGCGUGCCUAACACAUGCAAGUCGAGCGCGAAUGGAGCAAUCCUAGUAGAGCGGCGCACGGGUGCGUAACACGUGGAUAAUCUGCCUGGGUGUCUGGGAUAACCAGUCGAAAGACUGGCUAAUACCGGAUAAGACCACGGCCUCUUCGGAGGCUGUGAGAAAAGGUGGCCUCUGUAUACAAGCUAUCACAUCCAGAUGAGUCCGCGGCCCAUCAGCUAGUUGGCGGGGUAAUGGCCCACCAAGGCGACGACGGGUAGCUGGUCUGAGAGGACGAUCAGCCACACUGGAACUGAGACACGGUCCAGACUCCUACGGGAGGCAGCAGUGGGGAAUAAUUGCGCAAUGGACGAAAAGUCUGACGCAGCGACGCCGCGUGUGGGAUGACGGUCUUCGGAUU